This 1104-nucleotide long non-coding RNA is filed under the name Gadus morhua (Atlantic cod). RNAcentral describes it as "lncRNA (ENSGMOG00000032919.1)". The record is from RNAcentral. Lineage: Eukaryota; Metazoa; Chordata; Actinopteri; Gadiformes; Gadidae.
AUGCCUAACGUUGAGUUGGAUGACUUUUUUGAGUCUCCAUCCGAACCUUUAUUCGACAGGUUAACGAAAGAUCAGUUGUGUCAGGUAUCUGCACACUACCAAUUUGAUAUAAAUCUUCCAAAGGGUUUUAAUAAACAAGAACUCAAAGAAGGUAUAAAAUCAAAAUUGGUAGACCUGUCGAUAAUAUCUAUAGGUACCGUCGAUUCAUCUGGUCCACCGACAGCGACGUCAACGCCAAAUGCAGGCGAAAAGAUGGUUAGUCUGGAAAACUCGGCCGAGGUCUUAAAGCUUCAGCUUGAGUACAAGCGCUUAGAAGCCGCGGAGCAAGAGAAGGGUCGAGCGUUUCAGCGUCAGUUUGAACUCAAACGCUUGGAAGCGGAACAAAAGAAGCGAGAGUAUGAGAGGGAGCGUGAAGCCUCGGAAAGAGAAAAUCGGCGAGAAAUAGACCUAAAACGGUUAGAGGCCGAGGAAAAGAAGCGGGUGGAUGAAAGGGAAGAAAGAGAGAAAGAGCGCCUAUUCGAGCGGGAAAAAAUAAGAAUACAACAACAUAUCCAAACAGAGAGGCUGAGAUUGAUAGAUGAAGGAAAGAUGCGGAGUGGGGAGGAUUCUCCUGUGUCGUCGGACACGCACGGCGUUCUGUCGAGGAUGAUUCGAUUUCUACCUAAAUUUAAUGAACGUGACCCCGAUAUCUUCUUUUCGCUUUUUGAGGGUAUUGCUGAUGAGCACAGUUGGAAUGACACUCAGCGCACGUUAUUACUGCAAACUUUCUUUACGGGGAGAGCCCAAGAUGCAUUUGUGGCGUUGUCAUCUACAGAGCGCAAACAGUAUAGUCGCGUCAAAGAGGCGGUUCUGCGAACAUAUGAACAAGUGCCAGAGUAUUACAGACAGCGGUUCAGAAACUGGAAGAGAGGUGAACGGCAAACUUAUGCUGAACUUGGUAGGGAUCUUGGUGCAUUUUUUACGCGCUGGCUUCACUCAGUCAAUGUGACUACUUUUGAGGGAUUGUGCGAAUUAAUCACACUGGAACAAUUUAAGAAUAUCAUCCCUGAGCGGCUGACUACGUUUAUCAAUGAGCACACCGUUUCAACAGUUUCUGAGGCUGCA